RNAcentral lists this ribosomal RNA (623 nucleotides) under uncultured bacterium. RNAcentral's name for it is "bacterial SSU rRNA". It matches the Rfam family "Bacterial small subunit ribosomal RNA", at positions 1 to 611 of the family's 1533-position model. The record is from RNAcentral.
UUAUUCGAUAGAGUUGAUCCUGGCUAGAAGAGUCGAUAGGCGGGCCUAACACAUGCAGUCGCACGAGAAAGAACCAAAAUUGCAGGGGCGAGUAAAGUGGCGCACGGGUGAGUAACGCGUGGUUAAUCUACCCUUGGGUUUGGGAUACUUCCCGAAAGGGGCGCUAAUACCGGAUAAGACCACGGUGUCCACGGGCACUGGGGUAAAAGUGGGCCUCUACAUGUAAGCUCAUGCCUGAGGAUGAGACCGCGUCCCAUUAGCUUGUUGGUGAGGUAACGGCUCACCAAGGCCGCGAUGGGUAGCUGAUCUGAGAGGAUGAUCAGCCACACUGGGACUGGAACACGGACCAGACUCCUACGGGAGGCAGCAGUGAUGAAUCUUGCUCAAUGGGGGAAACCCUGACGCAGUCACGCCGCGUGGUUGAAGAAGGCCUUCGGGUUGUAAGCCCUGUCAGGUGGAAGAACCGCAUCUGGCAAUACCUGAACUGCUUGACGUUACCACCAAUUGAAGCACCGGCUAACCCGUGCCACAACCGCGUUAAAACACGACUGCAUGCUUUUUCCACUUACUGGCCUUAAUGAGUUUGCUUCCASCUGAAAGAUAUAAGACAUGUUCCUCGUUUA